UACGUAGGGGGCUAGCGUUGUCCGGAAUCAUUGGGCGUAAAGCGUGCGCAGGCGGUUUUGUAAGUCUGUCGUGAAAUCCCCGGGCUCAACCUGGGAAUUGCGAUGGAGACUGCAAGGCUAGAAUCUGGCAGAGGGGGGUAGAAUUCCACGUGUAGCAGUGAAAUGCGUAGAGAUGUGGAGGAACACCGAUGGCGAAGGCAGCCCCCUGGGUCAAGAUUGACGCUCAUGCACGAAAGCGUGGGGAGCAAACAGG
This 253-nucleotide ribosomal RNA is filed under the name uncultured bacterium. Its description in RNAcentral is "partial 16S ribosomal RNA". It matches the Rfam family "Bacterial small subunit ribosomal RNA", at positions 524 to 776 of the family's 1533-position model. The record is from RNAcentral.